ACACACGCACACACACACACACACACACACACAGGUGAGUCAAAAAUAAACAGGUGAAGUCCUGCACAGAUGUACAGCUGUAAAAUGAUCCAACCUCCUGAUGUUUCUGACAUUGUCUAAAUGAGCAACAUUCCAGCUGCAGGCGACUGAGUCAGAGGAGAACAGUUAGUUUAUAGGAUAUAAAACCAAAGAAAAACAUCAAGAUUUAAUUCAUAAUCCAUCCAAAAUUUAAAUUUUUUUACUAAAAACAGGUUUCAGAAUGAUCCUCCCCCAAUGAGGCUGUAUCUUCAGGUCCUAUGAGGCCGUAUCUUCAGGUCUAUGAGGCUGUAUCUUCAGGUCCUAUGAGGCCGUAUCUUCAGGUCCUAUGAGGCCGUAUCUUCAGGUCCUAUGAGGCCGUAUCUUCAGGUCCUAUGAGGCCGUAUCUUCAGGUCCUAUGAGGCCGUAUCUUCAGGUCCUAUGAGGCCGUAUCUUCAGGUCCUAUGAGGCCGUAUCUUCAGGUCCUAUGAGGCCGUAUCUUCAGGUCCUAUGAGGCCGUAUCUUCAGGUCCUAUGAGGCCGUAUCUUCAGGUCCUAUGAGGCCGUAUCUUCAGGUCCUAUGAGGCCGUAUCUUCAGGUCCUAUGAGGCCGUAUCUUCAGGUCCUAUGAGGCCGUAUCUUCAGGUCCUAUGAGGCCGUAUCUUCAGAUCCUAUGAGGCCGUAUCUUCCGGUCCUAUGAGGCCGUAUCUUCAGGUCUAUGAGGCCGUAUCUUCAGGUCUAUGAGGCUGUAUCUUCAGGUCCUAUAAUUCAGUAUCUUCAGGUCCUAUGAGACUGUAUCUUCAGCUCCUGUGAGGCUGUAUCUUCAGGUCUAUGAGGCCGUAUCUUCAGGUCUAUGAGGCUGUAUCUUCAGGUCCUAUGAGGCCGUAUCUUCAGGUCCUAUGAGGCUGUAUCUUCAGGUCCUAUGAGGCCGUAUCUUCAGGUCCUAUGACGCUGUAUCUUCAGGUCCUAUGAGGUUGUAUCUUCAGGUCCUAUGAGGCUGUAUCUUCAGGUCCUAUGACGCUGUAUCUUCAGGUCCUAUGAGGUUGUAUCUUCAGGUCCUAUGAGGCUGUAUCUUCAGGUCCUAUGACGCUGUAUCUUCAGGUCCUAUAAUUCAGUAUCUUCAGAUCUAUGAGGCCGUAUCUUCAGGUCCUAUGAGGUUGUAUCUUCAGCAGCCUUUAGCUCCAAUGACCUGCUGUAGAUGGAGGUAUCGUCUCUAACAAGCGUCAGGCAGCUCCUUGGGAAUUUUACUCCAUUCCUCGUGGGUGAUGGUCUCCAUCUCAGCGAUGUUCUCAGGUCUACGUGCUGCAGCAGCUUUCUUCAGAUCCACCACAGGUUCUUCAUUGGGUUUCAGUCUGGAGGUAGUGAUGUCCACUCAAGAACCUUCCAUGCUUUCUUCUCUAACCAGUCUUUGUUGGUUCUGAUGUGUGUUUGGGGUCGUUGUCUUCCUGGAACGUCCAAUUACGCCCAAGCUUCAACUUCUUCAGGGACUGAGGGACGUUCUUGUCCAGAACAUCCUGGUACUUCCUGAAUCCAUGGUGCCUUCAACACGUUGGAGAUUCCUGGUUCCAUCAGAAGCAGAACACCCCCACAGCAUCCCAGAUCCACCACCAUGCUUCACAGUAGGCAGGGUGUUCUUCUCCUCGUAGGCCUCGUUCUU
Molecule: long non-coding RNA, 1670 nt
Organism: Acanthochromis polyacanthus (spiny chromis)
Lineage: Eukaryota; Metazoa; Chordata; Actinopteri; Pomacentridae
Exons: 5
Source: RefSeq, a predicted model, not a curated record